UACGAAGGGGGCUAGCGUUGCUCGGAAUCACUGGGCGUAAAGCGCACGUAGGCGGACUCUUAAGUCGGUGGUGAAAUCCUGGAGCUCAACUCCAGAACUGCCUUCGAUACUGAGAGUCUCGAGUCCGGGAGAGGUGAGUGGAACUGCGAGUGUAGAGGUGAAAUUCGUAGAUAUCUGGAGGAAUACCGGUGGCGAAGGCGGCAUCCUGGACCGAGAUUGACGCUGAUGAGCGAAAGCUAGGGGAGCAAACGGG
Molecule: ribosomal RNA, 253 nt
Filed under: uncultured bacterium
Lineage: Bacteria
Description: partial 16S ribosomal RNA
Rfam family: Bacterial small subunit ribosomal RNA
Source: RNAcentral